This 19531-nucleotide long non-coding RNA is filed under the name Homo sapiens (human). Its description in RNAcentral is "long non-coding RNA NONHSAT200551.1". The record is from RNAcentral. Lineage: Eukaryota; Metazoa; Chordata; Mammalia; Primates; Hominidae.
CCCAAAGAAAAAAACAAAUGUUACCCAAUAGGCAAACAAUGCUGAGAGUUCACUUCCUCUAACUCUGUAGUUAAGUUACUCACUCAGUAUAACAUCACCCUCCUGCCAGGGGUUGAAGUCAGGAAGUAGUUUAUUUUCGCUGAAACUGAAGGGGGAAGUUAAAGAGAAAAAUAGCUGCAACUUGGUCAAUUCAGGAAAACCAGGUACGAAAAAAGAGGAGCAAGUUAAAGGGAAAGCCAGCUCGGAUUUGCUCACCAGUAAAAGGCAAAAAUCCCAGUGUUAUUCAUCUGCAUUUGGUGUGAAAGACAAAAGCUCAACUGGGAUCUGAGGCUUUCUGUGUCAGAGGGCAAGGAGUCAAUGGGGUUAUGAGGAAGUAAGACCACUUGAGACAUCAAAGAAAAGUAGAUCAAAUCACUAGACUCCUCCAAACAGGAGUGGGUGAAGACAAAAAGUGGAGAGAAUCCAGAGGGAAGAGAGGAGUAGGGAAAAUGGUGGAAAGGGAAGGUUUUUGAGAUGGAAGGCAGAGAAUGGGAACAAAAGAAGAAAAAGCUGUUUGUUUCAAAUCAAUAUUCUCCAAGAGGAUGUCUUGUUUCCCCAGGGAUAUUCUGAGGGACUCACAGGAUCAGAGCUGCGACACUUCUAACAUAUGAAUUCUCUCAAUUCUGAUGCCCUUUGACCUCUGCCACACAAUGCCAAGACAAACCCAGACCCCAGGCCCUGGAAACAGAGGAGGGGCAGGACGUGAUAGAGCUUCAGCAACAUGGAGAGGAGAUAGCCGGUCUGGCUAGGAUGGAAGAAAUGUACAUGGAGAAGAAAGACAGAAGAACCAUCACUGAGCACUAAACUAAUCAGCCAUAAUGUGCAGAUUGACUGGCAAGCCUAUCACCACCUUGAUAACAGAUGACAUUAAAGAGAAAGUAUCAAUGUGAGGAUUAAAUGGGAUGAAAAAUAAAACAUCUGUCGGAGUGCCUGGAAUAUGGUAGGUUCCAAAUAAAACCUUUUUGAAUCUGAGUGUAAACUUUUAACAAAAUCUGAUUUUCUUUUUCCCAAAUAUUGUAAUUACCAAGGAUUUUUUUCUAGAAAAUUUAUGUCCAUAUUUCCUUUAAGGGUUCCUUUAGAAACAUUCCCUUACUUUCAAUGUCUAUUUUUAAAAAUUAUAUAGCUCUCUAUUAAAAUAUUAGGCUGGGCAUGGUGGUUCAUGCCUGUAAUCACAACACUUUGGGAGGCUGAGGUGGAAGAAUUGCCUGAGCCCAGAGGUCCAAGGUUACAGUGAGCUAUGAUUGCACCUCUGCACUCCAGCCUGGGUGACACAGUGAGACCCUGUCUCUAAGAUAUAUGAAUUUUUAAUAUACAGGGAUUUUUUUGUUACUGUAAGAUUCUGUAACCAUGGGGAUUUAAGGUUGCAUACUCUACCCCAUUACCUAUAUAUUCACAAUCCAGAAAAUUGAAGUUCAAGAGCAUGCUGGCUUUGGGAUUCCUAGGGAGGGAGGAAGAGCAAUGAAAAGGUGGAAGAGAAUUCAUUCCAGAUGUCCACAAAUUCCAAAUACUACCCACGAUGGCCUUUGUAGAAAUGUCUUUCUUUCACUUGGUAGUGAACAGCUUUUUCAAUAUGAACUAUUAAAUGUAGAAUUCUUGCCAGCUUUAGUUUCACCAAAUUAAGAAUGUUCCUUUCACAGAGGUAUGCUUCUAAAUCUUGGUUAACAUAAAGAUAGUACUUUGGUCAGUGACAGGGACUUUUAAUUACUAUAAUCAAUGUCUGUAGAUUAUAAAUUUCUAAACCAUAGAAUAUUAGGGUUUUAAAAAAUGGGAAAACAUCAACACAACAUUCUCAUUUGUCAGAAUGAGGAAAUGGAGACCUAGAAUAAUUUACCACCUUGUCAGAUAUCUAAUGGCACUUUCAAUUCUAACAUUUAUGUCUAUUGACUAGUUUCUAAGGAUCAUUUUAACUGCACCAUUCUCCCAUAAAUGUGGUUACUUGAAAAGUUAGCUCUACUCUCUGUACUAUACCCUUACAAAUAACUACAUGAAAAAUAGGGCUUUGUCCUUUUAUCAAAAUGACACCAUUAAAUAAUUAAAUGGGAUUCUGGUUUUAUACAUGAUCACAGAGACAAGUGAAACCAAAAAGAAAAUAGAGAAACAGUAAGAAAUACUUAGAGCCAGGAUGAAGAAAACCUAGUUUGCAUGGAUGUUAUGUUUUAGUGUAAGAUAAAAACUUGAAUCUAUAGUAGAGAAGGUCACUCCUCAUAGUCACCCUGGGAAUGCGGAAAGGGAAGAGUGAAAGUGGUGUUUGGUGGAAAACGUAAAAACAACCCCCUUUCCUACUAACAAACAAAACAGCUCAGAUCUCUUUUCAUGUUUGCCUGCUUGGGAAUAUUUCAGCUACUUACUCUGAAUCUGGUAUACCUAGCCAAUGUCCACACUACAAAUUGAGAGUCAGAAAUAAAAUCUCUGAAGAAAACAAAAUAUUUAAAAGAACCUGUAGAGGAUGCAGCUGGCUGACCAGCACACACACCAAACCCAUCAUCUCCUUCAACUUGUUUUCAGAGAGUUGGAAAAACUUCAAUAUUCAGGAAGGCAUCUAAGUUCUCUUGGCUUAAGCCAAGAAGUAACAAAGAAGAGAGGUACUGUUCCUGUUUUAAUUUUAAAAUACAGCUAGGACACAGCUCAGGAGCCCAUUUUGGAAAGCCAUAAUAUAUAACCCAAGGCUCCUACUAAGAUGGAUUACCCUGGUGUUGUUUGAUAUCUCUUCAAUGUCACAUUAUCAUUCCAAACUUAAGUGGCCCUUCAGACUUGCUUCUAUACCUACCAAGCUAUCAUGCCUAAUCUUCAAUUGUUUCCACAAACCCCCUUGAAAAUAUUCUCCUUAGAAGACCAAAUAUCUCUGUAAAGCUUUAGAAGUGAAUCCUGCCAAUUACUUUCUGUUUGUGUGGUCUGCUGGGAGUAAAUUUCAUAUUGGGUUACCAUCUAUGAGAUUUGAGAGUAAUGGGGUGGAGGGAUGUACUAAAACACACCACUGUUUUAACCACUGCCUAAAAUCCUAGAGACCUACUAGGUUUGCAAAUAUCCACCCUUUCUGAAACUGAUUAAUACCUCUUGCGGCAAUUACCUUCAGAAAGCAGGGAGAUUGAUGUAGUGAUAUGUUAGACUCUAAAAAAUGCAACCUAAAAUUGUUUGCAAAAAUAUACUUCUAAUAAUUUGGCCAAAAGUCUAACUAUUCAAAGAUUUUCUCCAUUCCAUGAAUGGAUAUACCUCUUUCAUGCCCUAGUCCAUGUCCAGUUCUCAGUUUGUAAGUGCCCUACUGUCACGAGCAAACACAGGAGCCACAAUGUGGCCAAAAAUGGCAAAAGGACAGGCCCACUGUUACACUGCACUUUCCUUUUCAUAUCCUUGCAAAAAGUAAGAUAAUCUCAGUAAUAUCAAGAUGAAAAGGCUUAAGGACCCUUCUGAAAUCCAUGAGGCAAAUCUAUCUGAACAGCCCAAACACCAAAGAAUCUAUUUAGACAAAAUAAAAAUGUAUCCCAUUUUGGCAAGGAAAAGCAACUGGCAUGAAUAUUGAAUGUGUUGAAAACUCUCACAUCAGUAUUAAAAUUCAACCAGAUAGUUCUUUAAAGAUGACUAGCUUCUGAAAUGGAAGCUAAAUUGUUGGAAUGUAUGUCCAAUUCUAGAUGGGUUCUCUUCUUUCAGGGACAGGAGAGCAAGGUUUUCUGCCCAUAGUUAAUUCUGAAGAUGAGCAAACAUUUUCUAAAAGACAUUUUCGCUAAAAGACUGACCAGACCACUCUAAACAAACAGAAAGGGAAUGAAUACAUCUCAAUCAAGAUCUGGUACUGACCAGUUUACCUAAAACAUUGCGCUUUCUUUGGAUGCCUUCCUGCACAACAGAAUCAGGCUUAAAAAGUGCUUUGUACAAAAUAGCAACCCUUGCCCAAAAGCUGGAUCUGUAACAAAGAAAUAAAACGUCUUCCGUCCAGGGAGCAAACCAGUCAGCUUAGUUCAUGCCACGAAUAUCUUUCUUAUGCAAAGAAAAGUAUGAACUCAUUGGUAAUGAAUUAUAAUAUUAACUUCCCUAUUUCUAUUCCAAUUUCAAUAGAACUACACCACCAAGGGAAUUAGCUAUAAUAAGAGAGAGAAAGGGGGCUAAAAAUUAGCUAUAAAUAUAUUAUGAGGAGGACAAAAAGAGUAGAUAGAAAAAAAUAAACUAAAUGGGGACACAAGGAAAUACAAAAUAUGGACUAAACUAUACAGAAAAAUGUGUAAAGUAAGAAGGAAGUUACUAGCUCCACCCUUCAUGAUCACUGAAACAUUCAGAGUCAAUCAUGGCCUGUCACACAUGCAACAUUUUUUUCAACAAACAGAAAAUGCUACUCUCAGCCACAGUCAAGUUCUUUGGAAAACCUGAAUGAAAAGUCUAAAGAAAUCUUUUAUUGCUCACUCUUUCAUCCUUGGAAAGAUAACAAUUGUUUGACUCAGCUCCUUGAGAGAGAAGAAACUAAUUUAUCUUUGUAAUUUCAGAGCCUAGUAGAGCACCCAGCACACAGUAGGCUCUUAAUACAUGCUUGGGAUGAUUGAGGCAUUUUCUUCCACCAUAUUCCAUGAUCUUCUAGCCCUGGGGGUGCAGAGAGAUUACCUGGCCAAGAAGACUAGGGGUAAAGUACUUUUCUUACCUGGUAAGUGGUUUGGGAGUUAGGAAAACAUGAUGUCUGGCCAACCCCUUUCCUAAAGGAGUUUAUGUAUCCCAAUGCCCCACCCACCACCCGCCUCCACCACACACCCAGCGUUUGUUGCUUGUAAUGGGUCAAUACAUCAAUGAAUUGAUGAAUUGUAAAGGAAAAAAAAUACAUGCUUGGAAAAUGAAUUUAACUAAACAAGAUUGAAUGUAGCCCAGCUCUUUACUCACAGAGCUUGAAGGCUCAACUCGCCACAACCCCCUGGGGAGAGAGGAAAGACAUGGCAUUAGUUCCAGCGCUGUUAGUGCUAGCUAUUGCAACAUCAGAAGUAUCAAAAUUCAACUGUCUGGUGCCAAUGGCAAAACCAAUGCUUACCAAAUACAUUAUAAUAAUAAAUAUAACUUUAUAGGUCUCACAGAUUUAUUUAUGUCUGCAACUCUAAACCUGCUCCCAGCCCCCAGUCUCCAGAAACCAAGCUAGCUGGCCUUUUGGAGAUGAAAAUAGCAUCAGGCAUCAAGGGUGUGCAUUUAUGAGCAGGACAGGAGGGUGGACUAGCACCUGAACCUUAAUGCAUUCCUUAAAAGUUUUCAAUGGGAGCAUGAGUCAGGGGUGCCACCUGGAGAGAACCGUUCUCAGUAAAAGAAGGACAAUGUUUACCUUCAACUACCCAAUUUUUUGCUUCCAGGAGAUGUAACACACAGAUUGCCUGUAACCAUGGCAAUCAGCUCAGCUGUGAGCACCCUCAUUUAUUCAAAGCACAGAGGCAGUAUAAGAGAGAAAAUACUAUUACAAAUAGGAACAAUAAGAUUUAAUGUCAGAUGCCAAAAUAUGAUUGGUUCAGUAUUUGAUUCCCAGCCAUAUGAAGCACAUUACACUUUCUUGGUUUCAUCUGCUCUUUCCUGAUCCUCAAGGGUAAUAUUAAUUUCAAUUUCUUCCAGAAACAAUGAUUGACUUGUUUCUAGCACUAUCUUGGGAGUGAAAUAAAAAUUUUGGAAAAAUACAUUCUCAGCAAUGCACUGUGUGCAACAGAGUUGAGAUAACCAUGCCAAAAACUAUAAGGAAAUGUCAACAUACACUUAAAAAAAUAACUUUUGAUGGAGUUUUUUUAGGGAGGUAUUCAACUUCUCGUGAAUAAGUAAUAAAGGAUGUAUACUAUAUACUGUAUUUACUGGUUCUUCUCCCUAAUUUCAGUCUCUUUACACUCCUGGAAGAAAAAAAGUAUUAUGGAGGCUACUUUACAAUCUUCUAAAAUAGAGUAACAGAAAACCUGUUCUUGAUUUUCAAGGAAAUUACUUAUAACUCAUCAAGUUACUAAACUUCAGUUAUUGCAAAAUUUAUUAACUGUAUCCUGAGAUUUCCACUGAUAAAACUCAACUAAUGUAUUUCACAGGUACACAAAUAUCCAAGAUUGGAAAGAAGAAAGAAAAUGACGACAGAAUUUUGCAGUCUACAAGGCAAACACUGCCAUUCAUGUAGUUAUGGAGUUCCUACUAUGUGCAGACAAUGGGAAACUUUACGAAGGAACCUCGACGUAGCCUGUUCCCAAUGCCCUCUGUGGAAUCAGCCAGGUCCAUGCCACAAGUAUGAAUUGUUUCCAGUGCGGCAGUCCUGGGAGUGCCUGAGCCACAAGCCAGUGUCCCCUACUCAGUUGUGCCCUGUGGGGACUGAAGCAGGACUAUAUUCUCACAGGCUCUCCUAAAAGCUGGGCUGCCAGCUUCUAGCUCUACUCCUUUCUCAAAGUGGCCCAGGCCAUCUCUCAGACCAAGGGUAAAUGCUAUGCCAGUUCCACCUGUUGUCUUUGUGUGCAUAAAUCUCAUUCUUUGUGCUUUAUCUCAAAAAAAAAAUCAACUCAUAGGAUUAUAAUCUCCUGAAGAGAUUCCACAGCCCACCAGUCCUACAAAGUCAGACAUAGAGGGCCAGUUUAGGCAUAUAUAUAUAUACACACACACACACACACACACACACAUUUAUAUAUAAACAUAUAUAUGUAAACUCUACAUGUGUGUGCAUAUAUAUAUACAUACACAUAUAGAGAGAGUUUAUGUUUAUAUAUACAUAUAAAUUAUAUAUAGAAUUUCUAUAGAAAUACAAACUAUAUAUAGAAUUUAUAUAGACAUAUAUAAAUGAUAUGUCUAUAUAAACAUAUAUAUGAACUCUGUCUCUCUCUAUAUAUAUAUAUUUUAUAUAUAUAUUAUAUAUAUAUAUUUUAUAUAUAUGUAUUUUAUAUAUAUAUAUAUAAAACUCAUGUUAUAUAUGACAAAUCCCAUAUAUAAUAAAUCAGUGGUGGGGUAUGGUAAUUCAAAAAAAUGAAUAUGGUUUCAGAUGGAAAUUAAUUUAUAUGGCCAAGACUGUUAAUUAGGCUUUUGUUGCCUUUAACCUAAGAGUAAGGCCAGCAUCUGUGGUUAUGAGCAAAUACUUAAGGCUAUGGUAGCUGCAAACACUUGCAGCCCUGGGUCGAAGGACAAAGGCUAGAAUAAAUUCCCUACCAAACGCUCAGAAGUGAUAUUAUGCAAAGAAGAUGUAUAUUUUAAUAAAUAUUUGUGGAAUGCCUAUUACUUGCCAGGAACUAAGGACACAAAAGGAAUUAAAGCACCAGGUCAGUCCCAAAACAGCAUGAAAUUUGCACCCAGGCAGAUCUGGGUUCAAGCCCUAGUUCUGUCCCUUGCUAUUGCUUCUUCUAUGACCUUAAGAAUCUUCAAGAUGGAGUUCUCAAGAGGCACAAGUAUGACAGUGUACAUGGAAUUACUUGCCAUUAGCACAGAUGUUUGUCGUGUAUUCAUUUAUGAGUAAAUAAUUAUUGAGUGACAACUAUAUCCCAGGCAUUGUUCCAAGAAUUAGAGUUACAGCAGUAGACAAGAAAGAAUGUCUCAUAAUAAUGAAAUGAAGCUAACUUUAUUACAUUUAUAUCACAGUGAAAUCAACCAGGUCAAAGGAAAUGAUUCUUACCCUGUGUCACUCCAAAAGAUCUUAUCCAAAAUAAAAUGAUGUAUUUUUUAAUUUCCAAAAAUAGAUUAAAUUAAGUUGAGGUCUCUACCUGUACAGUGGCAGGAGAGAUGAAUCAGCACCUUAACAAUUUAUUUUGCUCACCUCCUCCUUCAUUCUGUUCUCUACUCUUUCCCUCAAUUGGUAGUUUUUGUCCCUGGAUGGCCUCUCCUCACACUUUUGUGUGGACAGACAUGAAUGUUCAGUUUUGUGUGUAGUGUGUGUGUGUGUGUGAGAGAGAGAGAGAGAGAGAAAGAUAACUGAGAGUGUGCACGUGUGUCUGCAAGAACAAUGGUAGAAAUCCAUGAUCCUUUGAAGAAAUUUAACCUGGGUUAAUUACUCAAAAUCCUUAUAUUCAGAACCUUCCAUAUUGAAGCUUCCCUGAUCUUUCUCUGCUCCAAUAGCUCAUAGCAAUGCCUGAAUGCUUUGUUUCUUAAAGAGGAGUUUAUAUUUAUAGAGAAGUUGUAAAGAGUCUCCAUAUACCUGCACCUAAUUCCCCUGUUAUCAGGAAUUUGCACUAGUAUGGCACAUUUGUUAUCAUUAAUGAACCAAAACGGAUAUUAUUAUUGGCUAAAGUUCAUGCUUCAUCUAGGUUUCCCAACUUCCCUGAGGUCCUUUUCUUGUGCCAGAAUCCCAUCCAGGAGACCACAUUACAUUUAGUCCUCAUGACUCUUAGACUCUUCUUCUUGGCUGUGAUAGUUUCUCAAACUUUUCUUGAUUUUGAUGACCCUGACAGUUUGAGAAGUAUUGGUCAGAAAUUUUUGUAGAAUGUCUACUGGUUGGAAUUUGUCUGGGGUUUUUCUCAUGAUGAAACUGAGGUCAUGGGUUUUUGGGAGGAAGACCACAGAGGCAAAGUGCCAUUCUCUUCCCAUCAUACCAAAGGUACAGGCUAUCAACAUGACUAACUUAUCAUUAUUGAUUUUUACCAUGAACACCAGGCUGAGAUAGUCUGAACAUCCUUUUUAACAGAGAUUUUUACCAAUUAUUAUAUUUGUAUUCCCAAACUGCUUCAAAGAUAUUUAUCAAGAAAUCUCAAAAUAGCCUCUUAUUUUUACCUAAAAUUCAUUCAUCCCUUAAUUUUCACUGAGAAAAUAUAUUGAGUCUACUAUCAAAUGCCAGGCACUGAGGAUACAGGCAUAAAUAAAACAUGUUCCUACUUUCAAGAGCUCAUGGCCCAGUCUAAUGCAAGAGAGACUUGUAAAAAUGUAAAGAAGGAUCCAAUGAGUUAAGGGACACUGUUUAAGGAAUAAAAGGAACCCUGAGAGGUAUAGUUAUCAUUUCCGUGAGGAGCUAGGAGGAGGGAAAAUCUCCUUCCUAGAGAAAGGGACUCCUAAGCUGAUCUUGAAAGGUACAUAGGAUUCUGCCAAGCAGAAGAGAAAUCAUGUGCAAAGCAGGUGUGUGUUCAUGAAAGCUGGUUUUAGAGAAGUGGCGGGGAAGGAGGAUGAAGUGGUAGGUAGAGAUCGUGGAGAGCCCAGUUUGCAUUUUGAAUUGUGUGGCUCUCAGGCUGCUAGAGUCAAAGUAUUAGAAGGUAAAGGCAGGCUUCUAGCAGGUUCCACAUCUGAAGCAGGAGUAAUAGUUGGUCAAGUAGUCUUCCCUGAAGGCUUGGAGACAGGGCACUAGAGUAGCACACCUCUAUACACAGAUAGGAUCUGUGCCUCAGCUCUGGCACAGAUUUCUCUCUCUCUCUCUCUCUAACACACACACACACACGCACACGCACACACACAAACAUACACACACACAGAGGGAGAGACAUAUUUGCCACAUAUCCAUUCUCUAAGAGCUGCCAACCCAGACUGACAAAUCUUUAGAAUUUACUACUUUGUCUCUUUUUUCUACACCUUGGCAGUGGAUGGAGCAGCAUCAGCCAUGGCUCAGGAAUGCAGCCGCCUACUUUCCUGUUAUCAGCAGGCAUUCCUGUGGUUACACUAUUCCUGCUUAGCUUAUCAAUGGCCCUUGGGAACACAGAGUCAGCACCCAAAGAGGGCCAGAACAGCCUGCUUGUUGGACGCCCAUCCACACCAUGAGGCUUUCCUGGAUGUAGAGGGAAGUUACUGUUCCUCGGGAAAACCCCUCUUCCCAGCUGGUAUGAAUGCUUUAGCUUAAGAAUCUGCCUCAUGUGUUUCAUACUCAGAGACACGACCCCCUAAUCUUUAUGUGUGAAAACUUCCCGUUGAUACCAAAAGGAGCUUUUCCUAGGAUAUCACUGACCCAGGGUAAGACACAGUGAGUGAAGUCUGUGCAUUUUGUUAGAAGAUUAAAUAUCCAUUAUAUCCCCCCAUAUUCUUCCUCACCCCAACAUAUCUCUUUGUCUCCAAGUUUUAGAACUUCUAGAAUAUAAAAUAUAAUGUAUGAUAUAUAGUCAUAUAACAUCUAGUAUUCCCUCAAUAGCAUUCCAUCAUCAGAAUAAAGUACAAAAUCUGCCAUCCAUCAUGAGAGACCUUUUAGGAUCAGGAUGCUGCCCUGCUCUCUAGCCUCAUCUGUCCUCACUACCUGCUUGGCCAUUGAUGCUCCAUCUUCCUGAACUACACCCCAGAAACUCAGCAAUCAGGCCAUGUUCUCUCUUAUAGCAUUGCUUUUGACAUGCUGGUCUCUCUGCUUGGGUUCCUUUCUUUUUGGGAUUUUUCCAUCCAUCUUUGUCUGGCUAACUCCUGAUCUGCCUGCACCAUCUUUCGGAACUUUGAGAUGGGUGCCCCUCAUUUGUGCUAUCUUUGCUUAUUCUUGAAGCACCUUAGGCUUCCUCUCUCAUGACGUAUCUAAGUGGCCUGCAGUGGUCUACCUCUUCAACCUCACUCCCUGGGACCAUAUCUUAUUGCAGAGGGAUGUGACUGAGUGCAGCAGGCCAGUCAUCCUUCUGCUCUACCAUGCACAGGGCAUGGCCGUUUCUUCCUCGUGCUUGCUACCCCAUGAUUGCAAGAUGGUUGCUGUACUUCAAAGAAUCACAUCCUCACUUCAGGGUCUCAAGCAGGAAGGAAGGGGGCUAUGUUUUCUUUUUAAUCAAGGAGGAAAAAAGAAGCCCCAGGAAGAAUUCCUCUAUGCCAUAUUGGCCAGAACUGAGUCAUAUGGCCAUGUCUUGCUGAAAAGAAGGCUAAAUAGCAAGUAUCUGGCAAAGCAGAAAGAAUUGUCACAAUGGGUUGGAUCAUGAUUCAUGAGCUGGUACAUAGCCCACUGAGGCAAACUCGGGAUUUUGUUAGGCAGAAAGAGGUUAUAGCUUUUGACCUGUCAAGUAAUAGUAUCUACCACAUUGAAUUCCACUUUAGAAAACAUAGAUACAAAACACACUCCUGAAGAUUGCACCAACAGGAGGCAAAAUUUAAGGAGCAAGAGAAACUAUACAUGUAAGUGAUAAAAUAGUAAUAUUUAUCUGUUGGGACUCAAAUAGGUGUUUUGUCCCAGAAUUAUCUCAAUUCAUCAAGACUUCUUUGAAACUCCUUGCCCAUGCUUAGCCAUUUAUUCUAGGUAGAACAGUAAACGAAUCUCCAUUCUUAGAAAAGGUGGGCCUAGCUUCAUAGAACCGCACACAGCCCUAUUAUGUAAUAUAGCUUGGAAACUGUAUGAGCUAGUAAGUUUGAUUUGAUAUGUUUGAAAGUUUGGCAAAGCCUUAGUGAUAGGUUUGGGCAAAAAAAAGAUGAAACUCCAUAAUUAUUGUUUCCAUUAGCUAAAUCCAUCAGCUGCAGAUUUGGAGAAUACUUGUUUCAGGUAUUUGGUGAGCGACUCUCUUCUCUGAAGGUAUUCAAUCCCAAAGUGCACAUCAAAUCAUUUCCACUAAAACGCAUAAAGGUCUUGGUCAAAUGUGACUCAUGUGUAUUUAUCUUAUCCUUUUGCUGAAAUGAUUUCACCCAAACUUAAAAUAGAUAGAGGUUAGUUGACUCAGAAAAUUAGUGCACAGGAUGAAUAAAGAUAGUAUCAUGAGCUGGACAUCCAUCAGGUCAAUGCAUACUGCUCACUGAUAGCUUCCCCACCAACCUCUGUACUAUACCAUCACUGUUUUGCUAUCCUUCAUCCAUCUGCUAUGGAUGUAUCAUUUUUUGGUCCUCAGGCUAACAAUUUUCAUAGGAUUUAGGAUAGAAGUCAAAAUCGGAGUGUGCCAGAAAGUGAGGAUUAAAGGACGCAGGUCUCCAGGAUUUGUUCUCUCAUGGAAAGAACCCAAAAACCUGUCUCUGAAUUUGCUUCUUCCCUGCAAAGUAAAACAGGAUCAGGCCCUGGUCCCAGUUAGGAAUAUGUGCCCCCUCUAUCCCCUAUCCCCUUAGAAGCCAAGUGGGAACCAGAAAGAGGCAGUGGGAAAGGAGGAACCUGGGACAGCUUCCAGUCUAAGUAGGUGUUUGGGGAUUCUCCACGAGGUCCAGGUUAGAUCCCCAAGGAAAUGCACAGAACUACUGGUCAAAGACACAGAUAAUAGUAAAGUGCUUGUGUUUGCCACACAUUCUCUUCUGUGCAUAUGUAUUCCUUGGAGGUUUUUCAGGGAAGUGUGGUAGGCCAAGGAUGGGAUCUGAGAGUUUCUAGAUCACCUAACUAAUUACCAUUUCCUACUUUUUCAACCAUUUAUUUCCAGCUCGUUCCUCCUACAAAGCCAGUAAUCUGGCGCUGUAUACCCUUGAUUAUAGCAGGGAAAGACUACAAAGCAUUCUGAUGUAAAGACACAUGCACAGAUAAUGUAGUAAAAAGAAUAUAGAUUAGCAACACAUAGGUCUGGGUUUAAAUCUCAGUACAGCUGCUUUUUCAUUCUGUGACCUUGGGUAAUUUAUAUAUUAGCCUCUCUGAGCCUCAGUUCCCUUACUGAGUCAGUAACACUUACCUCAGGGAGUUAGUAUGAGGAUUAAAUGUAUAAAUGAAAUAAUUAACCACUUAUAAAAUGUGCCAGACAUCUAAUGUGUGUUCAACAAGUCUUAAUCUCUUAAGUGAACAUUCUUACUAGAAAACUAACUCACAACUCUAUUGAUGGUAAGCAAUAGAAAGGUAUUCCUAUAAAAAGACACUCAUCUUAUUUAUACAUAAACAAUAGGAAAAGAUGGCGACAAUGACCUUGCAUUUCUAGGCUAGUUUUGUCACCAUAAUAUAAAUUAAUUGAAACAGACAAACUACAUUAACCAAGUAUUUAUUGUUUUUAUUUCAGGGUUUUAAAAAGCAGCAGGUUUAAGAGCUGACCAUAUCUGAAAGACUCUAGAAUAGCAGAGGAUUGAUUAAAGGUCUGUGGCCACAGAUUGGAUGUGUUGAUUUUAUUUCCCCAAAGGUAUCCACAUAGCAACUUGGCAGUACACACAUAUCCCAAAUAUAUGUACACAGUGUUUACAGAAAAUACUAAUUGUACCCUUACCUAAAAUGUUAGGUCCCAUUUUCAUUUUAAAGACUCAUUAUGCUUUUCAUGAACUAACACUUUUGUUCAUUUCAAUUCUGUCAUGAAUUCGAAAGAAGGACACAGCAAAUAGGUACUUAACUAAAGUAAGUGCUUUCUCCCAUGGUUUUAUCAAUCCAAGUCUAUGGACAUAAUACAGAAUCAAGAAUCCAAGGAAACUGCUCUGAAUUUCACUGUAAGCAUAGCUCAUUUUUUUGACCUGUUGAUUGCAGUUAAUUUAACGUCACGACCUGCACCUCAGAAUCUCUCAUGUCCCCUGCAGCUUUGUCAAGAUGCUUUGUAUAUAGCUGGUACCCAGAGAAGGUUUGCCACAUUGCACGGAGUUGAUCACCCAUUUUAUUCACUGGAUUUGGCUUUGAGCAACUUACACUUUUUUCUCUCCAAAAAUUAAGUCCACCCACGAAGGAAAAAGGCAGAAGGAUGCUGUGGCAAAAAUGCUAUCCUGGAAAACAGAUCUUGGCCCUGGUCCCAGCUCUCUGUGACUUUGGACACAUCAGUUGAUCUUUUUAGAUCAAAUUUCCCCAUAAAAGGGGGUACUAGACAAGAUGCAUGUGCCAGACUGCCAAGGCCAAGGCACACCCUAAGCCACUCAUAGUAAUAUCCCUGGAACUGUAGACCCUUGCAGAGAGAUUAUAGAAGUGAUUUUGAAUAAUUAUUGAGUUAAGUGCUAGCAUUCCAGCAUGACCGCUUCAAAAGAGGUAAUGCAUAUUUUUUUUUGUAUUUUUUUGGCUUUUUUUAAAGUUACAUUACUUUAGUGUUAUAUGUCAUAUAGUCAUUAGGAAUUCCAAGAGAGCAAAUGUCAACAAAGGUCUGAAGUUGUUUGGCAUUUUAUCAAUCAUUAUUUAGAGUUUUCUUUUUUUCUUUUUUUUUUCUUAAUGUGGUUAGGGACACAGAGGUUCAUGUGAUGUAAUAAGAAAGAAAUAAAGGAAGCUUUAUCUGCCGCUCUUUCAACCUCAUCCACUCAACACUUACCCCGUGACAGACCCCAAUACUCUUAAUGAAUUCCCAAGGUUACGAAAGAACUUGGAAGAUCUUACAUUCCUACAUGGUGAUUACAGAGGCUCACAUUUUGCCAAGUCAUAUGCAGGUGGCUGAAAAGUAAGUUUACUUUAUCUGCAUUUCAUAUUACACUUGUUCUUUCUUAUGAAUGUUUCUUUCAUAGUCAUGCAAAGUACUCAAUCAGUAAUUCCCCACCAAAAUGGUUGUUACAUAAGCGGCCGUGCAACAAUGCAUAUGUCAGCUCAGAUUCAUGUCAGAGAAAGUUCUCUAGUUUAUAUAACUCACUCCCCAGCAGCCAGUACACAGUUCAAAAAGUGUGGGCCUUUACAUUAUGGCGGGAGGGAGGUUAUUUUGUUUUGUUUGUUUUUUUUUAACACAUCACAUAAAUACACUUCCUUUCUCCUUUGUAACGUAUGGGAUACAUGGAAUUCCUAACUCACACAGAUCUCACUGUAGACCCAAUGAAUGGCACGGAGCCGACACAAACACCCACACACUUGUCUCAGUUACAGAUCUCUGCUAAAGACCAGAAGUUGGCCAUUACUAUGAAUAUACACUUCUGUUGGAUUUCUAUGGUAUUUGGUUUCAUUAGAUUGUAUGUUAAGUUAAAUAUGUUUUUUAAAGUUUCAUUCUCCUACCUCAAGUUACGGUGCAUCAAGGGGUCUCAGAGAGAAGUGGAGCUGCCACCUCAAUGUCCCGACCCCAGAGAGGAGCCUCUCAAGCCACCCCAAGGCAGCUGAGCCCCAGCUCGCACCAGAUCACUGUGGAGCAGAACCAAUUUUUAAAUGUCUUCAUCUGGUCCCUCCUACUUUUAUGGUGCUCUGGGGGUGGUGAGAAUCGGGAUGCACUGAAAGCUGCUGGGACAUCUGACUCUUUAUUUUCUUGGCUCUACGUGUCUUAACUCUGCACCAAUCCUCCCGACUGUGCAGAAUUUCACUUUGGAGAGCAGAGGCAAACGGAGAUUCACACAGAGGGGCAGGAGCCGUCAAUGCUGUCUAGUGAGAGGAGAGAAGAGGCAUUGUAAGUCCCCAUAGCACUGCUGUUGGGCUACCCUGCCAGUCAAUGCCACUUUUCCCACAGGCUCCAGCCUCAACUUCCCCUGGUGCAAUAUGAUGAUGGGAAGAAGGGCUCCUAAGAGGAAACUGAUUUAAGUAUCUCUGUUUUUCAGAAAACACUUCCAAUUGCUCUCUCAAGAAUGCGUUUCUAUUUCAUGAGUUGAUGUCAUAUUUUUAGGGGGAGGGAUGUAUGGAGAGAGAAAACUUUCAAAUAUCUGGAAAUCAGUGGUAUGAUGAGCCCUGUUCUCUGCUGCUCCAAGUACAAUACCAAAGCAUGUGGUGGAAGUGAUGGGACAGAUUUGGUUCCAUAUUAGAACUUCCUACUUGUAUGUUGAAUUUUAACGGAUGGCUGGGAGUAACAUCCACUUUACGGAGGUAUAUAAGCAAGCUCCAGACAGUAACUUGGUAUGGAGACUAUGCCAAGGAUCCCAUUGUCAGAAGGGAAGUAUGGUGUUGGGGAAGGAUAUUUCUCCCUCCCCUCCCCAUAGUGCCAUCCUCUGCUUAUAGAGGAGGAAAUAGCUACCCAAGCUUUAGCCCCUCCCGCUGCCCUAUGGAAGGAAUACAUUCCACUCUGAACUAAAGCUGGCAUCUUUGGUGCCACAUUUUAACAGAGGGUCGAGUUACUGUAUCUUGAGAAAGACAUGGGUACGUCAUGCUUCCUUCCACUAUCUGUACCCACUCAAAGUGAAUCGUUCCCCACUGUUCUCUUUAAAUUUUUGCUUCAUGUAGCAGAGAUUCAGGGUCUCGCUCCCCUUCUCCUCCUGACACAAAAGGCAGUCAGACUGAACAGUGGGAUAAGCCCUGAAGAUGGCUGGGAACAGCCACCGGUGGAAAGGGAACCCUUCUUUGCUGCCUUUCUCAUUGCCCCAGCACUGCUAAGUGCAGCAGAUUGGCCUUUUUCACAUUGCAGGGAUGAGAUCCUCAGGAUUUGAGAGGGUUCAUCUGGCUUCCAGGAUUAAACUGUGUUUUCAAAUCGAUCUUUUGACAAAGCCCAACAAUAGAGUUAUUUCUGUUUACCCAUGCAUUUCUAUUAACCCAAGGUGGUGCCUCCUUUCCCACUCAGCUAUCAAUCUUUGUAUGUAUAAUCAAACCCCCAAAUAUAUCUCCAACCAAACUUUCACAACUACAGUGGCACACUCACACAGAGUGAUCUAAAUGGAACACGGGUUUUCUAUAACCACAACCAAACCAUAAACGGCAUUUUAUAUACAUUAUCAUCCAGAAAGCAAUCAGAUUUUUUCAUAGCAAAUGGUAAGAUAUAAUAAAAGGAAAUUUGAGAAUUAUCAUAUAACUUAUAAUGUCUCUUUUAGCCCUAAGGUCCUAAGAUUCAGUGACAUGUGGUGUUUUCUCUUUUUCCUACCACUUUUUCAGCUUAAUUAUUAUCUACAGAGAUUAAAAACACAACUAAAAUUUCUGCAGAUUCACAGUGCUAUUUCAGAAUAGAUUUUACCCCUUAGUACCUUCUAUUUAAUCAAUUAAUGAGAAUACUUUGGAGCCCACUGCAGAAACUAUAAAUUCCAAAUGGUUCCUCAGAACAUGUCAUCAUCAAACCAGUUAGGCUGGCGUUGGUAAAUACCACAGCCUGCAGUUGCCAUGUGUUACAAAAACAAUAAACAGAUACCCUUCAUACCUCUCCCUUCCCUAAAACAAUUAUUCCUAUAAAAGUCUGUCUCUCCAGAUUUUUUGUUGUGGUGUUUCUGAUACCAGUACAAUCAGAAAGUAAUGAAAGUGUUCACUGAAAGGAAGUUUUCACUGAGCAUUGCAGGCCAAUGAGAAUGCAGAUUAACUCAAAUAAACUUUGGAAUGCCAGCCAAACCCAUGAAACUUGUCAGCAGUUCAUCUACUGAGAGUGGUUAUGCUUUUUCAGUAGUACCUUAUCCUGAAAUAACCUGAUGGAAAAGCCAGUGUCGGAUGACACAUGACAUCAAGUGUUCAAUGCAAAUUCUGCUGGCAUACUAUCCUGUUUGACUCCCUUGCUCUUGAGCCUUCCACAGUUGGUAAUAAGGAACUGAGUACCUUUGCAAUCUCCAGUAAAACAUGUGUGAUGGAAAUGUAAUUCCUUAGGGAAGCAAUUCCCAAUGGCAUACAUAGAUUUGAUUUUUGGGUUGAAAAGUAGUAAAUGACGAAUUGAAGUUUCUUUUUCUCUACUUAAAAACUAUUCUUGACAUUAAUUUUACUUGUAUUUGUUAACCAGUUUACAUUUUAUUUUGUUACUGAGACACUCAAAAGUGUCUAUAUUUUAGUCAAAGCUAAAACUGAAAGACUUUAGCAAAUUGACUUUUCUCUUUCUCCCAACAAACAUUAACUCAGUAUUUUACCUAGCUUUAUUUUCAAAUAUGGAGUUUUAUAGCACCUUGAUUUAUAGCUGGGCGUAAGAAAAGGUUAUGUCAGCAUUUACAUUAUAAGGCCAUGGUUUUGUGGUUUAUAACUAAGCCAUAAAAAUAAUUCUGACUAAAAUUUGGAAUGCCAGUUUCCACCUUGAAACGCAAGUGUGUCCCUAGCUGUAUGACCACACACACACACACACACACACACACACACAUCAGAAUUCAACAACUGCUGUUUUGUAUAAUACAUUUAUUCAAUAUAUUGCUUUGAUUAAAAAUGAACUCAAAGAAAGUCAAGGCUAUGAAGUGAAUUCAAACAAAGCUGUCAUCUAAUGGUAACAACUUAUAUCCUAAGAUAUAUUUUAGUAGAUUUGAAAGUUGAUUUAAUGACAAAAGAAUUUACUGUAUAGUUUUCAUAGUUAAAGAAUAAAGGACAGAAAGAUGAAGUGAGACCUCCACACACAAAAAAAUAGCCUUUUCUUAAUAAGAAAUGUUUGCAACAUUCUUCCACGCUGUAUGGUAGAUAUUCUCUGAAUCUCUUUGCAGAUGUGAUCUAACGUCCUUGAACACAUUUAUUACAAUCCAUCAUCUACAUGGCAACAGUCAGGGCCAUGCUCAUAAACCAGAACUGGUGCUAGAUCUGGUAAGUCAUUAAGCAAACAUAUUCCUGUGUUGUGCGUGGCGUGCAUGCCCACUGCCUGCCUAUAAAACGGAAAUAAGAUUUCUGAUUUGCAAAUUACCUCCUAAGACAUGUAAAGCUAGCUCCUUUAAUCCACAUUACUCAUUUUUGUAUUUUGACUGUUUCAAAUGCUAAAACAGACCUGAAUACAGUUUCCACAGUUCUCUUUAUAAUUAUUGUAUUUUUCAUUUACAUGAUCAUGAAACCUGUUAGCAAGUGAGAAACAGAAUCAUUUUCACUGAGACAAAAAAUAUUGAGAAUUAGGGGGAGAAACUCUGAAGCAAUAUAAACAACAGAGUCUAAUCUUAUCAAAGAGAGAAGGCAGUUGGUGAAUCUGAAAGAUCACUUACUUACCACUCAAUCAUAGAACUUAUACCCCCAAAUAGGAUUUAAGAAAGAAAAAAGCAAUUUAGUAGGAACUGGAAGUUAUAGGGCAUAGGUCUGCUUUAGUUGGUGACAAAAAUUAUGCCUCAGAGGUUAAGAGCAUGGAUUAGGGUGCUGGGUUGCCUGGUUUAAAUCCUAGCUCUGGCACUUACUACUGCAUGGUCCUUGACCAGUUAUUUAACUACUCUGUGCCUCGGCUUCCCAGUGUGGAAAGCAGAAAAACAGUAUCUCCCUUACAGAGAGGCUUUAAAGUUUAAAUGCAUUAACAAAGGGAAAAUCCUUUCAAUGUUGACACAUCAUGAGUGUGACAUAAGUAUUACCUAUUAUUUUUAUUAUGUGACCAAAUGUGGAAGAAAAAUUCUAUAAGAAAGUAGUAACAUUGUUUAGUCUUUCAAAAAUCAUAUAUUCUCCUCCAAUCCUGGCUCUCUGCAAUUCAAGAAAUCCUAACAAAUAGAAAACCUUUGUACACAGGAGAAAACGGAGAUGAGCAAAGGCAAUAUUUGGCUUAUUUGUUAUAACCCUAAUAAAACAAGACUGCUUGAAGAAAUAGACCAAAUUGUGGAAUGUUUAACAUUGAUCCAGGACUGGCUCUUCUGAGGAAAAGAUAUAAUAUUUAUCAUGUGGCCAAUUUUGUCUGUGAAGAUAAGGAGGAACUAAUCGGUCUCAACUUCAUGAUGUUGCUUAAAGGAGCAUAUAAAUGUACGAUCAUAAGUAUCCUUUAAAUGAAGGGGUUGGUUUUAUGACUGCAGAAGUGAGAAAGAGUAAGGUCAUUUAGCCUGAGCAACACAGCAAAACCUUGUCUCUACUAAAAAUUAAACAAAACAACCAAAAAAUCACUCAGGUGUGGUGGCGCAUGCCUGUGGUCCCAACUACUCAGGAGGCUGAGGUGGGAGGAUUGCUUGAGCCUGAGAGGUGGAGGUUGCAGUGAGCCUUGAUUGCGCCACAGCACUCUAGCCUGGGUGACAGAGCAAGACUGUCAAAAAAGGAAAGAAAAGAAAGAAAAGAAAAAGAAAGAAACUAAAACAGAAAGAAAAGAAAGAAAGAAUGGGAGAGAGAGAGGAAGGAAGGAAGGAAGGAGAAAGAAGA